UCUUGUCAUAAAUUAUUUGAUCAAGUAUAGUUUUUAGUUUACUUCAGUUCAUCAUUCUCUACACACUGUAUUCGAAGUGAAUGUUAAACAGCAAAACUGAAAAUUCUUGUUUUCCUGACAAUAAGCUCAUAUAGAGCUCUGAAGUGGUAAAAGAUGACAUUUUCCCGUAGCCUAAGUAUGUCUUUGAUUCUGCUCUAUAUAGCCUUCUGCUUCUUAGUUCCAGUUGCGGAUUCCAGAGCAGGUGCGUGCGAUUUCCGCGGCAUUGCCAACUGCUGGACUGAUUUGAUAAAACAAAAGUGUGGACCGAAUGACUGCUCUGAUGACAUCAUCUGCAA
Long non-coding RNA from Octopus sinensis (East Asian common octopus), 335 nucleotides. RefSeq lists it as uncharacterized. The record is from RefSeq and is a predicted model, not a curated record. The transcript is spliced from 3 exons. Lineage: Eukaryota; Metazoa; Mollusca; Cephalopoda; Octopoda; Octopodidae.